Molecule: non-coding RNA, 1409 nt
Filed under: Plasmodium cynomolgi strain B
Lineage: Eukaryota; Apicomplexa; Aconoidasida; Haemosporida; Plasmodiidae
Description: Eukaryotic small subunit ribosomal RNA
Rfam family: Eukaryotic small subunit ribosomal RNA
Source: Rfam by way of RNAcentral
AACAAAUUUUGUGUGCAGAUCCUAUUUGGAAGUAAAACACUUAAAGUACUGCGAGAUUUUGCUAUUAUGUGUUCUUUUAAUUAAAAUGAUUCUUUUUAAGGUCUUUCUCUUGCUUCUGCAUUUGAAGAUCUUGUUACUUUGAGUAAAUUAGAGUGUUCAAAGCAAACAGAUAUAGCAUUGCGCGUUUGAAUACUACAGCAUGGAAUAACAAAAUUGAACAAGUCAGAAUUUUGUUCUUUUUUCUUAUUUUGGCUUAGUUACGAUUAAUAGGAGCAGCUUGGGGGCAUUUGUAUUCAGAUGUCAGAGGUGAAAUUCUUAGAUUUUCUGGAGACAAACAAGUGCGAAAGCAUUUGCCUAAAAUACUUCCAUUAAUCAAGAACGAAAGUUAAGGGAGUGAAGACGAUCAGAUACCGUCGUAAUCUUAACCAUAAACUAUGCCGACUAGGCUUUGGAUGAAAGAUUUAAAUAAGAGAUUUCUCUUCGGAGUUAAUCUCUUAGAUUGCUUCCUUCAGUGCCUUAUGAGAAAUCAAAGUCUUUGGGUUCUGGGGCGAGUAUUCGCGCAAGCGAGAAAGUUAAAAGAAUUGACGGAAGGGCACCACCAGGCGUGGAGCUUGCGGCUUAAUUUGACUCAACACGGGAAAACUCACUAGUUUAAGACAAGAGUAGGAUUGACAGAUUAAUAGCUCUUUCUUGAUUUCUUGGAUGGUGAUGCAUGGCCGUUUUUAGUUCGUGAAUAUGAUUUGUCUGGUUAAUUCCGAUAACGAACGAGAUCUUAACCUGCUAAUUAGCGGCAAAUACGAUAUAUUCUUAUGUGGGAUUGAAUACGGUUGAUUUGCUUAUUUUGAAGAAAAUAUUGGGAUGCGUAAGAGUGUCCCUUUCCCUAUUCUACUUAAUUUGCUCAUCAUACUGUUUCUCUUUUGCGUAAGAAUGUAUUUGAUUUAUUGUAAAUUUUCUCAUAGGAACAAUGUGUGUCUAACACAAGGAAGUUUAAGGCAAAAAAAACAGGUCCUGCGAUGCCCUUAGAUAAACUAAGCUGCACGCGUGCUACACUGAUAUGUAUAACGAGUUACUAAAAUUACGUUUCUGCUUGCAGAUGCGUACUUUUCCUCCACUGAAAAGUGUAGUUAACCUUUAUUAGUACAUAUCAUGAUGAGGAUAGAUUAUUGGAAUUAUCAAUCUUGAACGAGGACGUCUAGUUAGCGCGAUUCAUUAAAUUUCGCUGACUACGUCCCUGCCCUUUGUACACACCACCCGUUGCUCCUACCGAUUGGAAGAUAUGAUGAAAAGUUUGGAUAAGAGAAAAGGGGAUUAUACAUUAUUUUUGCUCUAAAAAAAUCGAAAAUCUUAUCUUUUAAAGGAAGGAGAAGUCCUUAUAAGGUUUCCAUAGGUUCACCUACGGAAGGUCUUUA